RNAcentral lists this transfer RNA (63 nucleotides) under Archotermopsis wroughtoni. RNAcentral's name for it is "tRNA-Gly". Lineage: Eukaryota; Metazoa; Arthropoda; Insecta; Blattodea; Termopsidae. The record is from RNAcentral.
AUUUAUUUAAUAUAACAAGUAUAAUUGACUUCCAAUCAAAAAGUUCGCAAAACGAAAUAAAUA